RNA transcript from Neodiprion virginianus, 1247 nucleotides. It is a transcript of the gene named putative gustatory receptor 28b, with no coding region annotated. NCBI's taxonomy places the organism in Eukaryota, Metazoa, Arthropoda, Insecta, Hymenoptera, Diprionidae. The record is from RefSeq and is a predicted model, not a curated record. The transcript has 6 exons.
GAGAAGGUAACAUCCAAACACACAGCUCAGCUGAUAGCCAGCGUUAUAUGCUAAAAGAAAUCGGAAAAGCUCACUGGGAACUCUGUAAGCUGGCUAAUAACAUAAACGUCGUAUUCGGAGUACAAAACCUGCUGUUUAUGGUAAUAUCGGUUAUUGUGACAACGGGAUUGCUGUAUACCAUUUACGUCGCAUACAUGCUGGAAGAUGAGAUGUUUAACAAUCUUACAGCAAUAAUCCAGCCGCUUGCAUGGACGACCAUUUACAUUUACAAAAUUUGGGUGAUUAACCACUCGUGCGGGCGCGCCAGCAACGAGGCUCAAAGAACUGGAGAAGUUAUUUAUGGUCUCAUGAAACCAUGUGCACAAGAUCAGGAACUUCAAACGAAGAUUCAAGAGUUUUCAGUGCAGAUACUUCAGAAUCCCGUACAGUUUGAUGUCUGCGGAUUCUUCAUUAUGAAUUAUACAUUUAUUCAAGCUGUGAUCGGAUAUAUAACAACCUAUCUGAUAAUCCUCAUUCAGAUGACGGAGGCACCAAAGAUCCAGGCCUCGAAUCAUUCUGCUAUGACACCGGAAGUUGAGCAGAAGAAUAAAGUACAAUGAAAGUCAUAGUGAAGAACAGAUUAGCAGACUUGGAUUGCGAAAAAGAAAUGGUGAUUUGAAGAUGAUUUCAGCCGUCAUCCAUCGGGAUUGGACUACUAAAAUUGUCAUACCAUUAAGAAAAAAAAAAGGUCUGUUCUUUUCAAUAAUUCAAGUUAAUAACGUGAUUAAUAAAACAUUAAUAACUAAACUAAUUCCUUCGAUAGAAUCAACCUUGAUUCAUUUGAGUUUUACUAUAUAAACCAUGAUUUUUCUUUUUCACGUAGUUUGCUUAGCCUAACAGCAAAUGAGUUUCUAACAUAUUCGUAACACAAUGCGGUUAUCGCAACAUUGUGACUUCUGUGUAUAUAUUUGAAAACCCAGAAAUAAAUAUAAAUAGUGAUGUAAUAUCCACUGAUUUUUCUAUCAGCACUGUAGGAUAUAAAGUACCGCGUAAAAUCAAUGAAUAUCAUGAAAAUUAUAGUUUUGUUUGCCAGAAUAUAAAAGAUACACAAGAAAAUUUUUCACUUCUAAAUCAAUCGACUGAAACUUGUUUCUUAUCCAACGCUACAAUAUCACACCAAGGAAAAGUUUGAAAUGUUUCAGAUACAUUGCAUAAUAUUAUAUCGGAAUGGGGAAAAAGUUCAGGGCACAGUAAAUUUUGAAAAAAUG